Long non-coding RNA from Cydia fagiglandana, 1315 nucleotides. RefSeq lists it as uncharacterized. The record is from RefSeq and is a predicted model, not a curated record. Lineage: Eukaryota; Metazoa; Arthropoda; Insecta; Lepidoptera; Tortricidae. The transcript has 2 exons.
AUUACCCAGAACAUUUGCUAGUUCACAGAUAUUUCAUAAUUAUUUUACAAUAUUAUAAACAAUUUUCAGCCUGACAUAUUUUCAUUUUCCAUUAGAACUGAUAAUAUUGAUACAAUUAAUUUAUACAAAUGAUUUUACAUUAAAUUCUAAGAUACAAAACCCUGUCUAAAUAAAUCCAGCACACAGUUCAAGUUCCAUUAAAUAUUCAGGAAUGAAUACAUUCAAAUAACAGUUAUAUGUACAGUACCUAUACAUUAAUAUUUACAUUAGGCAUUUUGUAAUCAUCAGUACAGUCAGCAGUAGAAGUUGCUAAGCGGGCGAGGUGUUCAAAAUGAUCUUGACGCGACUUUAUUCUUAACCUCACAUGAUUGAUAUUUUUCAGUUACCUCUAUUAUUAUGUGAGUGACAGCUAUGCAACUGCAACUACAGUUGCAUAAAGCAUGUGAGUGGCUGAGAAUAUACAGGAGCGUGGCAAGGUCAUUUUGAACACCUCGCCCGCUUAGCCACUUCUGCGGCUGACUGUACAAGAGUUAAUUAAUAAUUUGUUGACGCAGCUUGACUAUAUUUAUUCGUCUGAAAUAUUAGGUUUAACUAAAGUUUAUAACGAAUAAAUGCGCGGUCAUUGUGUGACACAUGUCGGUAUCACACGGCCAUAUUUGCUCAAUCAUUCGUGUUCCAUCUCUUUCCUUCCUUAUCCUUAAUAUGGCAAUUAAGAGGAGCAGCACAAAGUGAAUGGAGUUAGACCAAGCUAAGUCGGCAGCGAUUUUGAUAGCCUAGCCUGUGCAAGUGUUAUUUUAAAACGUCAAACUUGUAUGAAACCAUGACGUUUAAUUAGCACUUGCAGCCUAUGCUAUUGCUGCUAACUUUGGUUGGUCCAACUCUAACUGACUUCGAAGUUUGCAGCAUGCAUUUUGUGAUUUUUACAGGGACGGAAUGGGAGUUACUUUCAGUUUAAGGCGUUCUGUGAACUGUUUAUUGUAUGCUGCUGUUCUAAAUGUAUAUAAAAUCGAUUCAAUGCCAUCCCUUACGAUAAAAUAAUCUUGUCAAGUAAAAUGCGACCUUGCGACUUUCCACUACAAAUUAUUUUACUUUUUGGUUAAAUAGGCAGAAAGUAAUAUCUUACAAUGAGCGAUGACAAAGCGAUCUCAGUCCAUAAUCGGUCGGUAAGGGUGGUCUUCCACCUGUCCAAUUUCUUUGUCCAAUCUGUAUUUUGUCUCACAAUAAGCAAUUGUGUGAUAUCUAUUAUAUUAAUAAUGUAAAUAUUUCAAUACAGUUACUAUUAUGAUUAUCAAAUAAAUGGUUUAUUCUUUUACAA